GAUGAACGCUAGCGGCAGGCCUAAUACAUGCAAGUCAAGGGGCCAGCAAUGGCACCGGCGCACGGGUGCGUAACACGUACACAACAUACCUUUAAGUGGGAGAUAGCAUCGGGAAACUGGUGGUAAUACCCCAUAAUAUUGCGAUGCGGCAUCACAUUGCAAUUAAAGUUUCGACGCUUAAAGAUUGGUGUGCGUCCGAUUAGCUAGUUGGCGGGGUAACGGCCCACCAAGGCUACGAUCGGUAGGGGGUGUGAGAGCAUGACCCCCCCACAUGGGUACUGAGACACGGACCCAACUCCUACGGGAGGCAGCAGUAAGGAAUAUUGGACAAUGGACGAAAGUCUGAUCCAGCCAUGCCGCGUGCAGGAUGAAGGCGCUCAGCGCUGUAAACUGCUUUUGGAUGGGAAUAAUAACCUCGACGUGUCGGGGCGUUGAAGGUACCAUCAGAAUAAGCACCGGCUAACUCCGUGCCAGCAGCCGCGGUAAUGU
This 489-nucleotide ribosomal RNA is filed under the name uncultured bacterium. Its description in RNAcentral is "bacterial SSU rRNA". It matches the Rfam family "Bacterial small subunit ribosomal RNA", at positions 28 to 526 of the family's 1533-position model. The record is from RNAcentral.